AGCUUCGUAGCUCAGUUGGCUAGAGGUUUGGCUGUUCUAAAGCCUUCCCCUUGCUGGCGUGGGUUCGAAUCCCACCGAGGCCG
RNAcentral lists this transfer RNA (83 nucleotides) under Schistocephalus solidus. It matches the Rfam family "tRNA". From Rfam's summary of the family: Transfer RNA (tRNA) molecules are approximately 80 nucleotides in length. Their secondary structure includes four short double-helical elements and three loops (D, anti-codon, and T loops). The record is from Rfam by way of RNAcentral. Lineage: Eukaryota; Metazoa; Platyhelminthes; Cestoda; Diphyllobothriidea; Diphyllobothriidae.